This 255-nucleotide ribosomal RNA is filed under the name uncultured bacterium. RNAcentral describes it as "partial 16S ribosomal RNA". It matches the Rfam family "Bacterial small subunit ribosomal RNA", at positions 524 to 776 of the family's 1533-position model. The record is from RNAcentral.
UACGUAGGCAGCGAGCGUUUGUUCGGAGUUACUGGGCGUAAAGGGUGUGUAGGCGGUUUUUCUAAGUUUGGUGUGAAAUCUCCCGCUUAACCGGGAGGGUGCGCCGAAAACUGGGAGACUAGAGUGCGGGAUGGGAGAGUAGAAUUCCUGGUGUAGCGGUGAAAUGCGUAGAUAUCAGGAGGAAUACCGGUGGCGAAGGCGGGUCUCUGGGCCGUAACUGACGCUGAGGAGCGAAAGCAUGGGGGAGCGAACAGG